AGUGAACGCUGGCGGUAGGCCUAACACAUGCAAGUCGAACGGCAGCACAGUAAGAGCUUGCUCUUACGGGUGGCGAGUGGCGGACGGGUGAGGAAUACAUCGGAAUCUACUUUUUCGUGGGGGAUAACGUAGGGAAACUUACGCUAAUACCGCAUACGACCUACGGUUGACAUCAGUGGAUCUUCGGACCUUGCGCGAUUGAUUGAGCCGAUGUCGGAUUAGCUAGUUGGCGGGGUAAAGGCCCACCAAGGCGACGAUCCGUAGCUGGUCUGAGAGGAUGAUCAGCCACACUGGAACUGAGACACGGUCCAGACUCCUACGGGAGGCGGCAGUGGGGAAUAGUGGACAAUGGGCGCAAGCCUGAUCCAGCCAUACCGAGUGGGUGAAGAAGGCCUUCGGGUUGUAAAGCCCUUUUGUUGGGAAAGAAAAGCAGCAGGUUAAUGCCUCGCUGUUCUGACGGUACCCAAAGAAUAAGCGCCGGCUAACUUCGUG
Molecule: ribosomal RNA, 492 nt
Filed under: uncultured bacterium
Lineage: Bacteria
Description: partial 16S ribosomal RNA
Rfam family: Bacterial small subunit ribosomal RNA
Source: RNAcentral